CCUACGGGAGGCAUCAGUAAGGAAUAUUGGACAAUGGCCGCAAGGCUGAUCCAGCCAUGCCGCGUGCAGGAAGAAGGCCCUAUGGGUCGUAAACUGCUUUUGAACCAGAGAAAACCCCACUACGUGUAGUGGGCUGAUAGUAUGGUUAGAAUAAGCAUCGGCUAACUUCGUGCCAGCAGCCGCGGUAAGACGAAGGAUGCAAGCGUUAUCCGGAUUCAUUGGGUUUAAAGGGAGCGUAGGCGGACUUGUAAGUCAGUGGUGAAAUCUGUGGGCUUAACCCACAAACUGCCAUUGAUACUGCAGGUCUAGAGUACAGUUGCCGUUGGCGGAAUAUGACAUGUAGUGGUGAAAUACUUAGAUAUGUCAUAGAACACCGAUUGCGAAGGCAGCUAACGAAGCUGUAACUGACGCUGAGGCUCGAAAGUGCGGGGAUCAAACAGGAUUAGAUACCCUGGUAGUCCGCACUGUAAACGAUGAUUACUCGUUGCUGGAAAGCAAUUUUCAGUGACCAAGCGAAAGCGAUAAGUAAUCCACCUGGGGAGUUACGCCGGCAACGGUGAAACUUCAAAUGAAUUGACGG
This 580-nucleotide ribosomal RNA is filed under the name uncultured bacterium. RNAcentral describes it as "bacterial SSU rRNA". It matches the Rfam family "Bacterial small subunit ribosomal RNA", at positions 338 to 916 of the family's 1533-position model. The record is from RNAcentral.